UCGGAUCGUAAAACUCUGUUGUUAGAGAAGAACAAGGAUGAGAGUAACUGUUCAUCCCUUGACGGUAUCUAACCAGAAAGCCACGGCUAACUACGUGCCAGCAGCCGCGGUAAUACGUAGGUGGCAAGCGUUGUCCGGAUUUAUUGGGCGUAAAGCGAGCGCAGGCGGUUUCUUAAGUCUGAUGUGAAAGCCCCCGGCUCAACCGGGGAGGGUCAU
This 216-nucleotide ribosomal RNA is filed under the name Enterococcus faecium. Its description in RNAcentral is "partial 16S ribosomal RNA". It matches the Rfam family "Bacterial small subunit ribosomal RNA", at positions 418 to 626 of the family's 1533-position model. Lineage: Bacteria; Bacillati; Bacillota; Bacilli; Lactobacillales; Enterococcaceae. The record is from RNAcentral.